UACGUAGGUGGCAAGCGUUGUCCGGAUUUACUGGGCGUAAAGAGCGCGCAGGCGGUUGUUUAAGUCGAAUGUGAAAGCCCCCGGCUCAACUGGGGAGGGUCAUUCGAUACUGAUCGACUUGAAGGCAGGAGAGGGAAGUGGAAUUCCGGGUGUAGUGGUGAAAUGCGUAGAUAUCCGGAGGAACACCAGUGGCGAAGGCGACUUCCUGGCCUGUUCUUGACGCUGAGGCGCGAAAGCUAGGGGAGCAAACGGG
This 253-nucleotide ribosomal RNA is filed under the name uncultured bacterium. Its description in RNAcentral is "partial 16S ribosomal RNA". It matches the Rfam family "Bacterial small subunit ribosomal RNA", at positions 524 to 776 of the family's 1533-position model. The record is from RNAcentral.